UGCAAGUCGAACGAGAAAGUGGAGCAAUCCAUGAGUAAAGUGGCGACCGGGUGAGUAACACGUGACUAACCUACCUUCAAGUGGGGGAUAACCUCGGGAAACCGAGGCUAAUACCGCAUAAUAUCGCAAGAUCAAAGCAGCAAUGCGCUAGAAGAGGGGGUCGCGGCUGAUUAGCUAGUUGGCGGGGUAACGGCCCACCAAGGCGAAGAUCGGUAUCCGGCCUGAGAGGGCGCACGGACACACUGGAACUGAAACACGGUCCAGACUCCUACGGGAGGCAGCAGUGGGGAAUUUUGCGCAAUGGGGGAAACCCUGACGCAGCAACGCCGCGUGGAGGAUGAAGCCCCUUGGGGCGUAAACUCCUUUUCGACCAAGACGAUAAUGACGGUACUGGUGGAAGAAGCACCGGCUAACUCUGUGCCAGCAGCCGCGGUAAUACAGAGGGUGCGAGCGUUGUUCGGAAUUAUUGGGCGUAAAGGGCGCGUAGGCGGUGCCACAAGUCACUUGUGAAAUCCCCGGGCUUAACCCGGGGCCUGCAGGCGAAACUGUGGUGCUGGAAUAUGGGAGAGGUGCGUGGAAUUCCCGGUGUAGCGGUGAAAUGCGUA
This 605-nucleotide ribosomal RNA is filed under the name metal-contaminated soil clone K20-39. RNAcentral describes it as "bacterial SSU rRNA". It matches the Rfam family "Bacterial small subunit ribosomal RNA", at positions 56 to 692 of the family's 1533-position model. Lineage: Bacteria; Pseudomonadati; Acidobacteriota. The record is from RNAcentral.